Molecule: ribosomal RNA, 471 nt
Filed under: uncultured Oscillospiraceae bacterium
Lineage: Bacteria; Bacillati; Bacillota; Clostridia; Eubacteriales; Oscillospiraceae
Description: bacterial SSU rRNA
Rfam family: Bacterial small subunit ribosomal RNA
Source: RNAcentral
AGGCUUUGAUCCUGGCUCAGGACGAACGCUGGCGGCGUGCCUAACACAUGCAAGUCGAGCGGUUCGAUGUUUAGCACCGAGUGUUUUGUAAAAAACAUUGGGUGCUAAACAUCGGAUAGCGGCGGACGGGUGAGUAACGCGUGAGCAAUCUGCCCUUUACAGGGGAAUAACACAGGGAAACCUGUGCUAAUACCCCAUGACAUAUCUUUGUGGCAUCACAGAGAUAUCAAAGGAGUAAUCCGGUAGAGGAUGAGCUCGCGUCCGAUUAGCUAGUUGGUGGGGUAAAGGCCUACCAAGGCGACGAUCGGUAGCCGAACUGAGAGGUUGAUCGGCCACAUUGGGACUGAGACACGGCCCAGACUCCUACGGGAGGCAGCAGUGGGGAAUAUUGCGCAAUGGGGGAAACCCUGACGCAGCAACGCCGCGUGAAGGAUGAAGGUCUUCGGAUUGUAAACUUCUUUGAUGAGGGAC